UAUGUAGGGUGCAAGCGUUAAUCGGAAUUACUGGGCGUAAAGCGUGCGCAGGCGGUUAUGCAAGACAGAUGUGAAAUCCCCGGGCUCAACCUGGGAACUGCAUUUGUGACUGCAUAGCUAGAGUACGGUAGAGGGGGAUGGAAUUCCGCGUGUAGCAGUGAAAUGCGUAGAUAUGCGGAGGAACAUCGGUGGCGAAGGCGCUUUGCUGGACCAUAACUGACACUCAGGGACGAAAGCUAGGGGAGCGAAUGGG
Molecule: ribosomal RNA, 253 nt
Filed under: uncultured bacterium
Lineage: Bacteria
Description: partial 16S ribosomal RNA
Rfam family: Bacterial small subunit ribosomal RNA
Source: RNAcentral